Molecule: long non-coding RNA, 8302 nt
Filed under: Homo sapiens (human)
Lineage: Eukaryota; Metazoa; Chordata; Mammalia; Primates; Hominidae
Source: RNAcentral
CGCAGCCUGCAGCCCGAGACUUCUGUAAAGGACUGGGGCCCCGCAACUGGCCUCUCCUGCCCUCUUAAGCGCAGCGCCAUUUUAGCAACGCAGAAGCCCGGCGCCGGGAAGCCUCAGCUCGCCUGAAGGCAGGUCCCCUCUGACGCCUCCGGGAGCCCAGGUUUCCCAGAGUCCUUGGGACGCAGCGACGAGUUGUGCUGCUAUCUUAGCUGUCCUUAUAGGCUGGCCAUUCCAGGUGGUGGUAUUUAGAUAAAACCACUCAAACUCUGCAGUUUGGUCUUGGGGUUUGGAGGAAAGCUUUUAUUUUUCUUCCUGCUCCGGUUCAGAAGGUCUGAAGCUCAUACCUAACCAGGCAUAACACAGAAUCUGCAAAACAAAAACCCCUAAAAAAGCAGACCCAGAGCAGUGUAAACACUUCUGGGUGUGUCCCUGACUGGCUGCCCAAGGUCUCUGUGUCUUCGGAGACAAAGCCAUUCGCUUAGUUGGUCUACUUUAAAAGGCCACUUGAACUCGCUUUCCAUGGCGAUUUGCCUUGUGAGCACUUUCAGGAGAGCCUGGAAGCUGAAAAACGGUAGAAAAAUUUCCGUGCGGGCCGUGGGGGGCUGGCGGCAACUGGGGGGCCGCAGAUCAGAGUGGGCCACUGGCAGCCAACGGCCCCCGGGGCUCAGGCGGGGAGCAGCUCUGUGGUGUGGGAUUGAGGCGUUUUCCAAGAGUGGGUUUUCACGUUUCUAAGAUUUCCCAAGCAGACAGCCCGUGCUGCUCCGAUUUCUCGAACAAAAAAGCAAAACGUGUGGCUGUCUUGGGAGCAAGUCGCAGGACUGCAAGCAGUUGGGGGAGAAAGUCCGCCAUUUUGCCACUUCUCAACCGUCCCUGCAAGGCUGGGGCUCAGUUGCGUAAUGGAAAGUAAAGCCCUGAACUAUCACACUUUAAUCUUCCUUCAAAAGGUGGUAAACUAUACCUACUGUCCCUCAAGAGAACACAAGAAGUGCUUUAAGAGGCGGCGGAAGGUGAUCGAAUUCCGGUGAUGCGAGUUGUUCUCCGUCUAUAAAUACGCCUCGCCCGAGCUGUGCGGUAGGCAUUGAGGCAGCCAGCGCAGGGGCUUCUGCUGAGGGGGCAGGCGGAGCUUGAGGAAACCGCAGAUAAGUUUUUUUCUCUUUGAAAGAUAGAGAUUAAUACAACUACUUAAAAAAUAUAGUCAAUAGGUUACUAAGAUAUUGCUUAGCGUUAAGUUUUUAACGUAAUUUUAAUAGCUUAAGAUUUUAAGAGAAAAUAUGAAGACUUAGAAGAGUAGCAUGAGGAAGGAAAAGAUAAAAGGUUUCUAAAACAUGACGGAGGUUGAGAUGAAGCUUCUUCAUGGAGUAAAAAAUGUAUUUAAAAGAAAAUUGAGAGAAAGGACUACAGAGCCCCGAAUUAAUACCAAUAGAAGGGCAAUGCUUUUAGAUUAAAAUGAAGGUGACUUAAACAGCUUAAAGUUUAGUUUAAAAGUUGUAGGUGAUUAAAAUAAUUUGAAGGCGAUCUUUUAAAAAGAGAUUAAACCGAAGGUGAUUAAAAGACCUUGAAAUCCAUGACGCAGGGAGAAUUGCGUCAUUUAAAGCCUAGUUAACGCAUUUACUAAACGCAGACGAAAAUGGAAAGAUUAAUUGGGAGUGGUAGGAUGAAACAAUUUGGAGAAGAUAGAAGUUUGAAGUGGAAAACUGGAAGACAGAAGUACGGGAAGGCGAAGAAAAGAAUAGAGAAGAUAGGGAAAUUAGAAGAUAAAAACAUACUUUUAGAAGAAAAAAGAUAAAUUUAAACCUGAAAAGUAGGAAGCAGAAGAAAAAAGACAAGCUAGGAAACAAAAAGCUAAGGGCAAAAUGUACAAACUUAGAAGAAAAUUGGAAGAUAGAAACAAGAUAGAAAAUGAAAAUAUUGUCAAGAGUUUCAGAUAGAAAAUGAAAAACAAGCUAAGACAAGUAUUGGAGAAGUAUAGAAGAUAGAAAAAUAUAAAGCCAAAAAUUGGAUAAAAUAGCACUGAAAAAAUGAGGAAAUUAUUGGUAACCAAUUUAUUUUAAAAGCCCAUCAAUUUAAUUUCUGGUGGUGCAGAAGUUAGAAGGUAAAGCUUGAGAAGAUGAGGGUGUUUACGUAGACCAGAACCAAUUUAGAAGAAUACUUGAAGCUAGAAGGGGAAGUUGGUUAAAAAUCACAUCAAAAAGCUACUAAAAGGACUGGUGUAAUUUAAAAAAAACUAAGGCAGAAGGCUUUUGGAAGAGUUAGAAGAAUUUGGAAGGCCUUAAAUAUAGUAGCUUAGUUUGAAAAAUGUGAAGGACUUUCGUAACGGAAGUAAUUCAAGAUCAAGAGUAAUUACCAACUUAAUGUUUUUGCAUUGGACUUUGAGUUAAGAUUAUUUUUUAAAUCCUGAGGACUAGCAUUAAUUGACAGCUGACCCAGGUGCUACACAGAAGUGGAUUCAGUGAAUCUAGGAAGACAGCAGCAGACAGGAUUCCAGGAACCAGUGUUUGAUGAAGCUAGGACUGAGGAGCAAGCGAGCAAGCAGCAGUUCGUGGUGAAGAUAGGAAAAGAGUCCAGGAGCCAGUGCGAUUUGGUGAAGGAAGCUAGGAAGAAGGAAGGAGCGCUAACGAUUUGGUGGUGAAGCUAGGAAAAAGGAUUCCAGGAAGGAGCGAGUGCAAUUUGGUGAUGAAGGUAGCAGGCGGCUUGGCUUGGCAACCACACGGAGGAGGCGAGCAGGCGUUGUGCGUAGAGGAUCCUAGACCAGCAUGCCAGUGUGCCAAGGCCACAGGGAAAGCGAGUGGUUGGUAAAAAUCCGUGAGGUCGGCAAUAUGUUGUUUUUCUGGAACUUACUUAUGGUAACCUUUUAUUUAUUUUCUAAUAUAAUGGGGGAGUUUCGUACUGAGGUGUAAAGGGAUUUAUAUGGGGACGUAGGCCGAUUUCCGGGUGUUGUAGGUUUCUCUUUUUCAGGCUUAUACUCAUGAAUCUUGUCUGAAGCUUUUGAGGGCAGACUGCCAAGUCCUGGAGAAAUAGUAGAUGGCAAGUUUGUGGGUUUUUUUUUUUUACACGAAUUUGAGGAAAACCAAAUGAAUUUGAUAGCCAAAUUGAGACAAUUUCAGCAAAUCUGUAAGCAGUUUGUAUGUUUAGUUGGGGUAAUGAAGUAUUUCAGUUUUGUGAAUAGAUGACCUGUUUUUACUUCCUCACCCUGAAUUCGUUUUGUAAAUGUAGAGUUUGGAUGUGUAACUGAGGCGGGGGGGAGUUUUCAGUAUUUUUUUUUGUGGGGGUGGGGGCAAAAUAUGUUUUCAGUUCUUUUUCCCUUAGGUCUGUCUAGAAUCCUAAAGGCAAAUGACUCAAGGUGUAACAGAAAACAAGAAAAUCCAAUAUCAGGAUAAUCAGACCACCACAGGUUUACAGUUUAUAGAAACUAGAGCAGUUCUCACGUUGAGGUCUGUGGAAGAGAUGUCCAUUGGAGAAAUGGCUGGUAGUUACUCUUUUUUCCCCCCACCCCCUUAAUCAGACUUUAAAAGUGCUUAACCCCUUAAACUUGUUAUUUUUUACUUGAAGCAUUUUGGGAUGGUCUUAACAGGGAAGAGAGAGGGUGGGGGAGAAAAUGUUUUUUUCUAAGAUUUUCCACAGAUGCUAUAGUACUAUUGACAAACUGGGUUAGAGAAGGAGUGUACCGCUGUGCUGUUGGCACGAACACCUUCAGGGACUGGAGCUGCUUUUAUCCUUGGAAGAGUAUUCCCAGUUGAAGCUGAAAAGUACAGCACAGUGCAGCUUUGGUUCAUAUUCAGUCAUCUCAGGAGAACUUCAGAAGAGCUUGAGUAGGCCAAAUGUUGAAGUUAAGUUUUCCAAUAAUGUGACUUCUUAAAAGUUUUAUUAAAGGGGAGGGGCAAAUAUUGGCAAUUAGUUGGCAGUGGCCUGUUACGGUUGGGAUUGGUGGGGUGGGUUUAGGUAAUUGUUUAGUUUAUGAUUGCAGAUAAACUCAUGCCAGAGAACUUAAAGUCUUAGAAUGGAAAAAGUAAAGAAAUAUCAACUUCCAAGUUGGCAAGUAACUCCCAAUGAUUUAGUUUUUUUCCCCCCAGUUUGAAUUGGGAAGCUGGGGGAAGUUAAAUAUGAGCCACUGGGUGUACCAGUGCAUUAAUUUGGGCAAGGAAAGUGUCAUAAUUUGAUACUGUAUCUGUUUUCCUUCAAAGUAUAGAGCUUUUGGGGAAGGAAAGUAUUGAACUGGGGGUUGGUCUGGCCUACUGGGCUGACAUUAACUACAAUUAUGGGAAAUGCAAAAGUUGUUUGGAUAUGGUAGUGUGUGGUUCUCUUUUGGAAUUUUUUUCAGGUGAUUUAAUAAUAAUUUAAAACUACUAUAGAAACUGCAGAGCAAAGGAAGUGGCUUAAUGAUCCUGAAGGGAUUUCUUCUGAUGGUAGCUUUUGUAUUAUCAAACUUUUUUCAGAUAACAUCUUCUGAGUCAUAACCAGCCUGGCAGUAUGAUGGCCUAGAUGCAGAGAAAACAGCUCCUUGGUGAAUUGAUAAGUAAAGGCAGAAAAGAUUAUAUGUCAUACCUCCAUUGGGGAAUAAGCAUAACCCUGAGAUUCUUACUACUGAUGAGAACAUUAUCUGCAUAUGCCAAAAAAUUUUAAGCAAAUGAAAGCUACCAAUUUAAAGUUACGGAAUCUACCAUUUUAAAGUUAAUUGCUUGUCAAGCUAUAACCACAAAAAUAAUGAAUUGAUGAGAAAUACAAUGAAGAGGCAAUGUCCAUCUCAAAAUACUGCUUUUACAAAAGCAGAAUAAAAGCGAAAAGAAAUGAAAAUGUUACACUACAUUAAUCCUGGAAUAAAAGAAGCCGAAAUAAAUGAGAGAUGAGUUGGGAUCAAGUGGAUUGAGGAGGCUGUGCUGUGUGCCAAUGUUUCGUUUGCCUCAGACAGGUAUCUCUUCGUUAUCAGAAGAGUUGCUUCAUUUCAUCUGGGAGCAGAAAACAGCAGGCAGCUGUUAACAGAUAAGUUUAACUUGCAUCUGCAGUAUUGCAUGUUAGGGAUAAGUGCUUAUUUUUAAGAGCUGUGGAGUUCUUAAAUAUCAACCAUGGCACUUUCUCCUGACCCCUUCCCUAGGGGAUUUCAGGAUUGAGAAAUUUUUCCAUCGAGCCUUUUUAAAAUUGUAGGACUUGUUCCUGUGGGCUUCAGUGAUGGGAUAGUACACUUCACUCAGAGGCAUUUGCAUCUUUAAAUAAUUUCUUAAAAGCCUCUAAAGUGAUCAGUGCCUUGAUGCCAACUAAGGAAAUUUGUUUAGCAUUGAAUCUCUGAAGGCUCUAUGAAAGGAAUAGCAUGAUGUGCUGUUAGAAUCAGAUGUUACUGCUAAAAUUUACAUGUUGUGAUGUAAAUUGUGUAGAAAACCAUUAAAUCAUUCAAAAUAAUAAACUAUUUUUAUUAGAGAAUGUAUACUUUUAGAAAGCUGUCUCCUUAUUUAAAUAAAAUAGUGUUUGUCUGUAGUUCAGUGUUGGGGCAAUCUUGGGGGGGAUUCUUCUCUAAUCUUUCAGAAACUUUGUCUGCGAACACUCUUUAAUGGACCAGAUCAGGAUUUGAGCGGAAGAACGAAUGUAACUUUAAGGCAGGAAAGACAAAUUUUAUUCUUCAUAAAGUGAUGAGCAUAUAAUAAUUCCAGGCACAUGGCAAUAGAGGCCCUCUAAAUAAGGAAUAAAUAACCUCUUAGACAGGUGGGAGAUUAUGAUCAGAGUAAAAGGUAAUUACACAUUUUAUUUCCAGAAAGUCAGGGGUCUAUAAAUUGACAGUGAUUAGAGUAAUACUUUUUCACAUUUCCAAAGUUUGCAUGUUAACUUUAAAUGCUUACAAUCUUAGAGUGGUAGGCAAUGUUUUACACUAUUGACCUUAUAUAGGGAAGGGAGGGGGUGCCUGUGGGGUUUUAAAGAAUUUUCCUUUGCAGAGGCAUUUCAUCCUUCAUGAAGCCAUUCAGGAUUUUGAAUUGCAUAUGAGUGCUUGGCUCUUCCUUCUGUUCUAGUGAGUGUAUGAGACCUUGCAGUGAGUUUAUCAGCAUACUCAAAAUUUUUUUCCUGGAAUUUGGAGGGAUGGGAGGAGGGGGUGGGGCUUACUUGUUGUAGCUUUUUUUUUUUUUACAGACUUCACAGAGAAUGCAGUUGUCUUGACUUCAGGUCUGUCUGUUCUGUUGGCAAGUAAAUGCAGUACUGUUCUGAUCCCGCUGCUAUUAGAAUGCAUUGUGAAACGACUGGAGUAUGAUUAAAAGUUGUGUUCCCCAAUGCUUGGAGUAGUGAUUGUUGAAGGAAAAAAUCCAGCUGAGUGAUAAAGGCUGAGUGUUGAGGAAAUUUCUGCAGUUUUAAGCAGUCGUAUUUGUGAUUGAAGCUGAGUACAUUUUGCUGGUGUAUUUUUAGGUAAAAUGCUUUUUGUUCAUUUCUGGUGGUGGGAGGGGACUGAAGCCUUUAGUCUUUUCCAGAUGCAACCUUAAAAUCAGUGACAAGAAACAUUCCAAACAAGCAACAGUCUUCAAGAAAUUAAACUGGCAAGUGGAAAUGUUUAAACAGUUCAGUGAUCUUUAGUGCAUUGUUUAUGUGUGGGUUUCUCUCUCCCCUCCCUUGGUCUUAAUUCUUACAUGCAGGAACACUCAGCAGACACACGUAUGCGAAGGGCCAGAGAAGCCAGACCCAGUAAGAAAAAAUAGCCUAUUUACUUUAAAUAAACCAAACAUUCCAUUUUAAAUGUGGGGAUUGGGAACCACUAGUUCUUUCAGAUGGUAUUCUUCAGACUAUAGAAGGAGCUUCCAGUUGAAUUCACCAGUGGACAAAAUGAGGAAAACAGGUGAACAAGCUUUUUCUGUAUUUACAUACAAAGUCAGAUCAGUUAUGGGACAAUAGUAUUGAAUAGAUUUCAGCUUUAUGCUGGAGUAACUGGCAUGUGAGCAAACUGUGUUGGCGUGGGGGUGGAGGGGUGAGGUGGGCGCUAAGCCUUUUUUUAAGAUUUUUCAGGUACCCCUCACUAAAGGCACCGAAGGCUUAAAGUAGGACAACCAUGGAGCCUUCCUGUGGCAGGAGAGACAACAAAGCGCUAUUAUCCUAAGGUCAAGAGAAGUGUCAGCCUCACCUGAUUUUUAUUAGUAAUGAGGACUUGCCUCAACUCCCUCUUUCUGGAGUGAAGCAUCCGAAGGAAUGCUUGAAGUACCCCUGGGCUUCUCUUAACAUUUAAGCAAGCUGUUUUUAUAGCAGCUCUUAAUAAUAAAGCCCAAAUCUCAAGCGGUGCUUGAAGGGGAGGGAAAGGGGGAAAGCGGGCAACCACUUUUCCCUAGCUUUUCCAGAAGCCUGUUAAAAGCAAGGUCUCCCCACAAGCAACUUCUCUGCCACAUCGCCACCCCGUGCCUUUUGAUCUAGCACAGACCCUUCACCCCUCACCUCGAUGCAGCCAGUAGCUUGGAUCCUUGUGGGCAUGAUCCAUAAUCGGUUUCAAGGUAACGAUGGUGUCGAGGUCUUUGGUGGGUUGAACUAUGUUAGAAAAGGCCAUUAAUUUGCCUGCAAAUUGUUAACAGAAGGGUAUUAAAACCACAGCUAAGUAGCUCUAUUAUAAUACUUAUCCAGUGACUAAAACCAACUUAAACCAGUAAGUGGAGAAAUAACAUGUUCAAGAACUGUAAUGCUGGGUGGGAACAUGUAACUUGUAGACUGGAGAAGAUAGGCAUUUGAGUGGCUGAGAGGGCUUUUGGGUGGGAAUGCAAAAAUUCUCUGCUAAGACUUUUUCAGGUGAACAUAACAGACUUGGCCAAGCUAGCAUCUUAGCGGAAGCUGAUCUCCAAUGCUCUUCAGUAGGGUCAUGAAGGUUUUUCUUUUCCUGAGAAAACAACACGUAUUGUUUUCUCAGGUUUUGCUUUUUGGCCUUUUUCUAGCUUAAAAAAAAAAAAAGCAAAAGAUGCUGGUGGUUGGCACUCCUGGUUUCCAGGACGGGGUUCAAAUCCCUGCGGCGUCUUUGCUUUGACUACUAAUCUGUCUUCAGGACUCUUUCUGUAUUUCUCCUUUUCUCUGCAGGUGCUAGUUCUUGGAGUUUUGGGGAGGUGGGAGGUAACAGCACAAUAUCUUUGAACUAUAUACAUCCUUGAUGUAUAAUUUGUCAGGAGCUUGACUUGAUUGUAUAUUCAUAUUUACACGAGAACCUAAUAUAACUGCCUUGUCUUUUUCAGGUAAUAGCCUGCAGCUGGUGUUUUGAGAAGCCCUACUGCUGAAAACUUAACAAUUUUGUGUAAUAAAAAUGGAGAAGCUCUAAAUUGUUGUGGUUCUUUUGUGAAUAAAAAAAUCUUGAUUGGGGAAAAAA